Molecule: ribosomal RNA, 392 nt
Filed under: uncultured bacterium
Lineage: Bacteria
Description: partial 16S ribosomal RNA
Rfam family: Bacterial small subunit ribosomal RNA
Source: RNAcentral
AUACGUAGGGGGCGAGCGUUGUCCGGAUUUAUUGGGCGUAAAGGGUGCGUAGGCGGCCGUCCAAGUCCGGUGUUAAAUGGUCGGGCUCAACCCGAUCAUGCGCUGGAAACUGGGCGGCUUGAGUCCCGUAGGGGAUGCCGGAAUUCCAGGUGUAGGGGUGAAAUCUGUAGAUAUCUGGAAGAACACCGAUGGCGAAGGCAGGCAUCUGGCCGGAGACUGACGCUGAGGCGCGAAGGCGCGGGGAGCGAACAGGUUUAGAUACCCUGGUAGUCCGCGCAGUAAACGAUGCGCACCAGGUGUCGGGCGGCAGCGCCCGGUACCGGAGCUAACGCGAUGAGUGCGCCGCCUGGGGAGUAUGCCCGCAAGGGUGAAACUCAAAUGAAUUGACGGGG